GUACAAAUAUAUCAGAUCAAAACCAGUAUCAUCAAGCAGACGGCCACAAAGAACAUUAAAUCAGGUAAAUUAACAUGGCUCAGACAUCCAAGGAAGGAACUAGCAGCAUUAGAUCUCAAGCCUGGCGGGGCGAAAACUUUUAGGCGGCAACUGCGAAUGUUUUGA
Molecule: ribosomal RNA, 165 nt
Filed under: Triticum aestivum (bread wheat)
Lineage: Eukaryota; Viridiplantae; Streptophyta; Magnoliopsida; Poales; Poaceae
Description: partial small subunit ribosomal RNA
Source: RNAcentral